CGCUAUCAUCCUACGGGAGGCAGCAGUGGGGAAUAUUGCACAAUGGGGGAAACCCUGAUGCAGCCAUGCCGCGUGUGUGAAGAAGGCCUUCGGGUUGUAAAGCACUUUCAGUAGGGAGGAAGGUAGUGUAGUUAACACCUGCAUUAUUUGACGUUACCUACAGAAGAAGCACCGGCUAACUCCGUGCCAGCAGCCGCGGUAAUACGGAGGGUGCGAGCGUUAAUCGGAAUUACUGGGCGUAAAGCGCAUGCAGGUGGUUUGUUAAGUCAGAUGUGAAAGCCCGGGGCUCAACCUCGGAAUUGCAUUUGAAACUGGCAGACUAGAGUACUGUAGAGGGGGUAGAAUUUCAGGUGUAGCGGUGAAAUGCGUAGAGAUCUGAAGGAAUACCGGUGGCGAAGGCGGCCCCCUGGACAGAUACUGACACUCAGAUGCGAAAGCGUGGGGAGCAAACAGGAUUAGAUACCCUGGUAG
Molecule: ribosomal RNA, 471 nt
Filed under: uncultured bacterium
Lineage: Bacteria
Description: bacterial SSU rRNA
Rfam family: Bacterial small subunit ribosomal RNA
Source: RNAcentral